This 571-nucleotide ribosomal RNA is filed under the name Escherichia coli. RNAcentral's name for it is "bacterial SSU rRNA". It matches the Rfam family "Bacterial small subunit ribosomal RNA", at positions 955 to 1526 of the family's 1533-position model. RNAcentral also lists the same sequence under 1 other name. Lineage: Bacteria; Pseudomonadati; Pseudomonadota; Gammaproteobacteria; Enterobacterales; Enterobacteriaceae. The record is from RNAcentral.
UGCAACGCGAAGAACCUUACCUGGUCUUGACAUCCACAGAACUUUCCAGAGAUGGAUUGGUGCCUUCGGGAACUGUGAGACAGGUGCUGCAUGGCUGUCGUCAGCUCGUGUUGUGAAAUGUUGGGUUAAGUCCCGCAACGAGCGCAACCCUUAUCCUUUGUUGCCAGCGGUCCGGCCGGGAACUCAAAGGAGACUGCCAGUGAUAAACUGGAGGAAGGUGGGGAUGACGUCAAGUCAUCAUGGCCCUUACGACCAGGGCUACACACGUGCUACAAUGGCGCAUACAAAGAGAAGCGACCUCGCGAGAGCAAGCGGACCUCAUAAAGUGCGUCGUAGUCCGGAUUGGAGUCUGCAACUCGACUCCAUGAAGUCGGAAUCGCUAGUAAUCGUGGAUCAGAAUGCCACGGUGAAUACGUUCCCGGGCCUUGUACACACCGCCCGUCACACCAUGGGAGUGGGUUGCAAAAGAAGUAGGUAGCUUAACCUUCGGGAGGGCGCUUACCACUUUGUGAUUCAUGACUGGGGUGAAGUCGUAACAAGGUAACCGUAGGGGAACCUGCGGUUGGAUCAC